Molecule: non-coding RNA, 366 nt
Organism: Verrucomicrobia bacterium CAG:312_58_20
Lineage: Bacteria; Pseudomonadati; Verrucomicrobiota
Source: Rfam
AAUUUUGGGCGGGCAUUCGCCCGCGGCUCGUCCGCGGGAGGAAAGUCCGGACACCACAGAGCGGGAUUCCGUCCGAAAGGGCGGGGCGCGCGCCGCAAGGCGCGCGUACGGACAGUGCAGCAGAAAACAAACCGCCGCGCGAGCGGCAAGGGUGAAAAGGCGGGGUAAGAGCCCACCGCCGCGGGAGCAAUCUUCGCGGGCAUUGAAAACCCAAUCCGGUGCAAGACAACAUAGGAUGCGGAACUGCUCGUUCAAACGCAUUGGGUAUGUCGCACCCCUCGCGGGGGCCCCUUUUCAAGGGGGCAGAUAAAUGAAUGCCGGUUCCUUCGGGGACUACAGAAUCCGGCUUACAGCCCAACUUUCUCU